GUGUCAACGAUAUCCAAGAAUGGUGAAUGGACAUAACAAAAUGUGAGGUUCCAUAAUCCAUAUUGGAAAAUAAGUAGAAAGGUGGAAAGAGGAAAAACAUAUGUCUAUGCCCCUGAAUUUUAAGAGGAAAACCUAUUCAGUCCCUCACCUUUUAUUUUGAUCUAUUGAGUCAUAGUAUUACUAAAUACUAAUAUUUCAUAAACAAUUAAAUACAAGUUAAAGAAAUUACCAUUUUGUGACGGUAACAAGGAAAAUAUAGUCAAGGUGAACACAAACACCAAAUGGUUGAAGACACAAAAGAAGUAGAGGCAUGAACACCUGCUUCUAGAUUAGCUUCCAUUGAAAUUGAGUUGGAAAAAAUUGAGCUCAAAAGAAGCAUCCAAAAAAUAAAUACCAAAUUGUUGAAGACACAAAAGGAGAAGUUAAUGAAAGCUUUGGGUACUAUUUUGCUUCCUAAUCAUAUUUGGUUAAAACUCUAAUUAUCUAGAUGAGUUUCUACAACCUAGCUUGCAAAUGAAGCUAAAAUUGUUCCUUAUCAUCUAAAAUAAGAAUAUAGAAAGAGGCCAUCUCUAUUCUAGGUUAGACCCUUAAACUUUGGUAUGGGUAAAAUUUUUGUGAUGGAUACUUUCUCUCCUCAUGUUUUGGUGCUUUUGCUAGAAAUGCUUUCAAUCUUGUAGAUUAAUUUUUUAUCCCUCACUUGUUGAUAGUCCUUUGUACUUCAAUUGCACUCCCUUGUUGCCCUCUAGUGCAGUUUUUCAAUAACAAAAAAAA
Molecule: unclassified non-coding RNA, 771 nt
Filed under: Hevea brasiliensis (rubber tree)
Lineage: Eukaryota; Viridiplantae; Streptophyta; Magnoliopsida; Malpighiales; Euphorbiaceae
Source: RNAcentral